ACCUAGAGUUAAAGAAUAAUCACAAUUAGUAAAAUAGUUCAACAUAUUUCGCUUCGCACAUCAACCACGUGCAUUUCUUCAGUACAUAUUUGUUAGCGUCAAUAUACCAACAGAGUCGGAUUAAUGGAUGGACUGAUACAUUUAAGGAAAACAAACGCUUUGGAGGAUGUCUGCCCAUCAGUACCUGUCGUUUUUGGAUAGGCCAGAUACAGAAUAAUCAUGCAGGAAACACAUACCUUGGAAUAGACGUUUCUCGUCCUUCUCGUCCAAUGU
Long non-coding RNA from Drosophila willistoni, 273 nucleotides. RefSeq lists it as uncharacterized. The record is from RefSeq and is a predicted model, not a curated record. The transcript is spliced from 2 exons. Lineage: Eukaryota; Metazoa; Arthropoda; Insecta; Diptera; Drosophilidae.